CCUACGGGAGGCAGCAGUGGGGAAUAUUGCGCAAUGGGGGCAACCCUGACGCAGCCACGCCGCGUGAAUGACGAAGGUCUUCGGAUUGUAAAGUUCUUUCGACCGUGAAGAUAAUGACGGUAGCUAACGAAUAAGCACCGGCCAACUCCGUGCCAGCAGCCGCGGUAAUACGGAGGGUGCGAGCGUUGUUCGGAAUGACUGGGCGUAAAGUGGGUGUAGGCGGGUUUGUAAGUCAGCAGUGAAAUCCUAGGGCUCAACCAUAGAACUGCCAUUAAGACUAUUAUUCUAGAGUAUGGGAGAGGAUAGCAGAAUUCCUGGUGUAGGGGUGAAAUCCGUAGAUAUCAGGAGGAAUACCGAUAGCGAAGGCGGCAAUCUGGC
RNAcentral lists this ribosomal RNA (378 nucleotides) under uncultured bacterium. Its description in RNAcentral is "partial 16S ribosomal RNA". It matches the Rfam family "Bacterial small subunit ribosomal RNA", at positions 338 to 733 of the family's 1533-position model. The record is from RNAcentral.